This 1848-nucleotide ribosomal RNA is filed under the name Escherichia coli. RNAcentral's name for it is "partial 23S ribosomal RNA". It matches the Rfam family "Bacterial large subunit ribosomal RNA", at positions 1 to 1846 of the family's 2925-position model. The record is from RNAcentral. Lineage: Bacteria; Pseudomonadati; Pseudomonadota; Gammaproteobacteria; Enterobacterales; Enterobacteriaceae.
AGAUUAAGUUAUUAAGGGCGCACGGUGGAUGCCUUGGCACUAGAAGCCGAUGAAGGACGUUACUAACGACGAUAUGCUUUGGGGAGCUGUAAGUAAGCUUUGAUCCAGAGAUUUCCGAAUGGGGAAACCCAGCAUGAGUUAUGUCAUGUUAUCGAUAUGUGAAUACAUAGCAUAUCAGAAGGCACACCCGGAGAACUGAAACAUCUUAGUACCCGGAGGAAGAGAAAGAAAAUUCGAUUCCCUUAGUAGCGGCGAGCGAAACGGGAAGAGCCCAAACCAACAAGCUUGCUUGUUGGGGUUGUAGGACACUCUAUACGGAGUUACAAAGGACGACAUUAGACGAAUCAUCUGGAAAGAUGAAUCAAAGAAGGUAAUAAUCCUGUAGUCGAAAAUGUUGUCUCUCUUGAGUGGAUCCUGAGUACGACGGAGCACGUGAAAUUCCGUCGGAAUCUGGGAGGACCAUCUCCUAAGGCUAAAUACUCUCUAGUGACCGAUAGUGAACCAGUACCGUGAGGGAAAGGUGAAAAGCACCCCGGAAGGGGAGUGAAAUAGAACCUGAAACCGUGUGCUUACAAGUAGUCAGAGCCCGUUAAUGGGUGAUGGCGUGCCUUUUGUAGAAUGAACCGGCGAGUUACGAUUUGAUGCAAGGUUAAGCAGUAAAUGUGGAGCCGUAGCGAAAGCGAGUCUGAAUAGGGCGUUUAGUAUUUGGUCGUAGACCCGAAACCAGGUGAUCUACCCUUGGUCAGGUUGAAGUUCAGGUAACACUGAAUGGAGGACCGAACCGACUUACGUUGAAAAGUGAGCGGAUGAACUGAGGGUAGCGGAGAAAUUCCAAUCGAACCUGGAGAUAGCUGGUUCUCUCCGAAAUAGCUUUAGGGCUAGCCUCAAGUGAUGAUUAUUGGAGGUAGAGCACUGUUUGGACGAGGGGCCCCUCUCGGGUUACCGAAUUCAGACAAACUCCGAAUGCCAAUUAAUUUAACUUGGGAGUCAGAACAUGGGUGAUAAGGUCCGUGUUCGAAAGGGAAACAGCCCAGACCACCAGCUAAGGUCCCAAAAUAUAUGUUAAGUGGAAAAGGAUGUGGCGUUGCCCAGACAACUAGGAUGUUGGCUUAGAAGCAGCCAUCAUUUAAAGAGUGCGUAAUAGCUCACUAGUCGAGUGACACUGCGCCGAAAAUGUACCGGGGCUAAACAUAUUACCGAAGCUGUGGAUUGUCCUUUGGACAAUGGUAGGAGAGCGUUCUAAGGGCGUUGAAGCAUGAUCGUAAGGACAUGUGGAGCGCUUAGAAGUGAGAAUGCCGGUGUGAGUAGCGAAAGACGGGUGAGAAUCCCGUCCACCGAUUGACUAAGGUUUCCAGAGGAAGGCUCGUCCGCUCUGGGUUAGUCGGGUCCUAAGCUGAGGCCGACAGGCGUAGGCGAUGGAUAACAGGUUGAUAUUCCUGUACCACCUAUAAUCGUUUUAAUCGAUGGGGGGACGCAGUAGGAUAGGCGAAGCGUGCGAUUGGAUUGCACGUCUAAGCAGUAAGGCUGAGUAUUAGGCAAAUCCGGUACUCGUUAAGGCUGAGCUGUGAUGGGGAGAAGACAUUGUGUCUUCGAGUCGUUGAUUUCACACUGCCGAGAAAAGCCUCUAGAUAGAAAAUAGGUGCCCGUACCGCAAACCGACACAGGUAGUCAAGAUGAGAAUUCUAAGGUGAGCGAGCGAACUCUCGUUAAGGAACUCGGCAAAAUGACCCCGUAACUUCGGGAGAAGGGGUGCUCUUUAGGGUUAACGCCCAGAAGAGCCGCAGUGAAUAGGCCCAAGCGACUGUUUAUCAAAAACACAGGUCUCUGCUAAACCGUAAGGUGAUGUAU